RNA transcript from Capsicum annuum, 3503 nucleotides. RefSeq lists it as uncharacterized. NCBI's taxonomy places the organism in Eukaryota, Viridiplantae, Streptophyta, Magnoliopsida, Solanales, Solanaceae. The transcript is spliced from 9 exons. The record is from RefSeq and is a predicted model, not a curated record.
UAUGAAUUCUUUUGGAGAAAUAAAUUCAUAUAUUAUCACUAGGUCUGUUUUUUUUUGUUCUCAGAUUCUUCUAAAUAUACAUGUUGUUUUCAUUAACAAGAUUGUUGGAUACAAAUUUGUGCUUCAAAUUUGUGAUAUAGAUCGAUACCGAAGAUUAAACAUUUUAAGAAUCCACUAAAGUUUGCUAAUGGACGUGCUUUAUUAUCAACUACUCUAGCAGCCAAAAUCCUCCCAGAUGCUUCAACAAAUCACUCACAAUUUCAUGAAGUCCAACAACAACAACAAGAUCAUGUUCUUCCCCAAGAAGAACAAGUUUUAAUUCCCCCACAACAAGAAGAAGCUCCAGUUCCCCCGUAGCAAGAACAUGCUCCAAUUCUGCCUUCUAAUUCAAGUGCAACAUCUAUUCGUCAGCGUUCAUCUCCAAAAUAUUGGAGAGUAGAGACCGAAGUUUUGAGAAGUGGUCGAGACCAUCGGGCAUGCCUAAGAAAUACAUGGAAGACUUCUUUGAAACAAUACUAAAGUCUCGUUUUCUUUUUCGGUCAAGUGAGUCUAUUGCAUACAGGUAUUGUAAUGCUAGUAUUUCAAAGAAGUGGGCUACACACAACAGAGGUUAUGAAAUGAAUAUUUUGACCCAACCAAAAGGAAAAAUGAGAUUAUUAGUAUGUACCAACUGGUAUAACUAAAGAUCAAUGGGCUAAUUUUGUUGCAUACCGCCUGAAACCAUCAACAAUCGAGCUUUGUAGAAGAAAUAAGGAAAUUCAAAGGAAGCAAACAAUGCCAUACACUGGUGGUUCAAAAGCUAACUCGAGAAGUUUCUGGAAACUGGAAAAGCUCCUAGCCGCGGAAUAAUAUUUAUUGAAACUCAUAAGAGAAAGAACAAAUCAUUUGUGAAUGAUAAGGCUCAACCUAUAGCGGUAAGUAUAGCAUCAAUACAUUUUUUUUUUUUACUUAAUUUCAUUGUUACUGUAAAAUUUUUUUUAUGUCAAGUCUCACUAUUUUGUUCUUACUAUUGAUAUUAUAUGCUUUAGGAGUGAAUUGAAUUAAAUAUGACUUAGUGUAGUAUCAAUGAGUUUAAUGUUUCCCCUGAAGAUAUUAUUGGCAAGAUAUUAGGGGCAGAGCACUCCGGAAGAGUAAGAUGUAUGGGCAUGGGAGCAGCUCCAUAAACACAUUCGUGAAUACCAAGCGAUGUAGUGAGUUGAGCAUGUCUUCAUCUAGAUAUGGUGAAUCAUCAACAACUUCUACCUAUUUGCAUCAAAAGUUUACGCGUUUCGAGUCUCAAUUGGAAGUAACCCCGAAUGUGCUGAAGAAUUACAUGAUAUCAAAGGAAGGAGGGAUUCCUGAAGAAUUUGCUCGUCUGUUUGCUCCUCAACCACAGAUGAACUCCGUGCUACAGCAGUACACGUUACUUGGUAACUUCAUCGUACUUGCAGAACUACUGUCAUGAUUAAUUCCUGUUAAUUCUAACCUCAAAAAAUCAACGAGAACUUUGAUCAUAUUCAGAUUAUCAGAACCCUAUCAUUGUUGGAAAACUUCCAAUCCAGUGGAUUUGAACAAGGAAAUCAGCAUUGGUUGUGGUGUCUGUCGCAUCACUUCAUUUUGCUGGUUUCUUUGUUUGGUAAGAUUAUCUUUUUUUUUCAAUCUAUUGGCCAUAUUUAGCAUCCAUGUGAUGUCAUAUGAUGAGAUCAUCAUCAGGUAUCUUUCUGCUGUUUUGGCUGGUUUUCGCAACCUCAAAAAUGAGCUGUAUCCAUCGAGGUGGGCAUGCAAAAUUCUGUCUUGGGCGUGGUUUUAGCAACCUCCCAUUUCUCCUCACCAGCAGUUGCAUGACCUGCAGCAACUUCAGCGAUCAUUAUGAAUGUAAUGGGUAGUUUUUUUAGGUUUCUUUUGGAGAUGUAUUAACCCUACUCAACCAAAGAGUAGUUUUGAACUGACCGAUAAAUCAUGAAUAUUCAUGUUGAGAUAUUCUGUUCUUUUUCUUCCCAUUGUACACCCAUCGAUAAAUUUUUGUUUUCGCCAUUCUCUGUGCUCAAUUUAGAGGCCCUAGGAAGGUCGGAAACUCAUCAAUUGCAUGCUGGAUAAGUCUAACUGAUCUAACUAUGCGUUAUUAUAGAACCUUCAUAAAGCAUCUAGGAAUUAACAUUUGAACUUCCACAAUCCACAUAUUUUCCUUAACUUAGCUUCUUAUAUUGGCUACUGGAUUCCAGUUCUCUCCGGUCCGUGAAGAUUACUUUGUUGAGAAGAGGUUAUUAGGGAAGUACAAGGGUAAUCCGAUGCACUAAGCUCGUAACCCUUUAUGGUUUCACAUCAAAGCACAACCGUGAACUACUCCUUUAUUUAUGAAUACAUUCCCAAUGGAACAGUGGUAGAUCACUUGACUGGUGAUAGAGCAAAGGACAGAUUCCUUUCAUGGCCUAUCCGGAUGAAUAUUGUUGUAGAAACUGCUAGUGCAUUGGCUUACCUCCAUGCUUAUGACAUAAUACAUCGUGAUGUGAAGACCAGCAAAAUACUCCUUAACAACAAUUGUCGUGUCAAAUUUGCAGAUUUUGGGCUUUCGAGACUGUCCUCGAAUGAUGCUACUCAUGUCUCAACUGCUCCUCAAGGGACAGCAGGAUAUGUUGAUCCAGAGUAUCAUGAAUGUUACCAGCUCACUGAAAAAACUGAUUUUUAUAGUUUUGGGGUUAUCCUCAUUGAAUCUCAUCCCCCACAAAGGUGGUGGUAAGUUCUGUAGUUCAGACACUUUUAACUCCCAACCUCACACAGUGAUAUUCAAGGGAAGAAGAGAUAACACUAAGCAAGAUGUAACGAUAUCAUGGAGCUGAUACAGAACCUGCAGUUUUGGUCAGGAGUUCAAUAUUGACAUUAAAUGGAGCAACAGAGGAGGUCCAGUGAAUUACCGAAACAUGUAUCCUGUAGAGAGUACAUUGAGGAUAUUGAGACAAGAUUCAAUAGACCUAGGAGUGUCCGUGAUGACACAAAUGACAUUGAGCCUUCUGGAAUGUCUACUCUCUUCCCUCAAUUAGGUAAACCUGCGUCAGCUGCGGAAAAUUACGAUUUAACUCCUAUGUCGAAACUACAAGCUCAUCGAUAUGUGCUUCUAAAUUGUGCAAUAGUCACCCCAUUUGUGGAGUGAGUAACUCUUAAAAACAGUAUGUUCUGUGUCAUUGCAAUGUUUGAAGUAGGUUAGUUAUGCUCUUUACUAUUAAAUUAAUUGUUUCAUAUAGCGAAUUUAGACAACACAUAAGGAGGAGUUCAAGAGAAAGAAGACCUUCACCAACAGGGAUAGAGAGAAGAGUUAAUAAAGAGUUUCUCGAUUGGUUCCACAAGCGGGUAAGUAAGUAAUAAUCAGUUGUUAUUUAUAUUUGAUUGGAAUGAGAAAAUCUGACUAAGUCAAUUUUAUUUUAAUUUAGAUUAUGAUUCCAGACACAAUAGAUACAAUGUCUAUUGAUCUAAAGUUUUUAGCACGAGGUCCAUGUACAAAUUCAAGAAGGUUUACUGCAUAUAACAUC